ACCAGCGUUGCCAUCCUGAUUCUCUUUGUUUUACCAUGUGGCCAUCACCCACGAGGUAGACCAACCCAUUGCCAUCAAAAUCUGGCAGAGAGUGGUCAGAAUAACUUCUGCAGAUGACCAGGCCAAUCUCUUCUUACUUUCUUUGGGUAAAGAUCCUGAGUAAGAAGCAUCUUAGAACUUAGGGUCCUUGAACUGCUGAAGAACCUUGACAUAAAGGAUUGAAAUGAUGAAAGAAUCUACGAGCACCAUCCAAGUCUUCUACAGAGGUAUCAGGAGGAAGGAGGAGCCCAGUUGUGCUGCCUUCAGGUCUCCAGGUUGGGUUUGAGCACAAGCUACCAGGUGUCAAGAAAUGGUUCUGCAGAGCACUCACACUGAGAAACUCUUGAUUUCCUUGAUCUCUUCUAGUAGGCUUCAGCCUUUUGCAACUAAUGGCUACAGGAUUGAAAUGCUGUUGUUCACAAGUUGGGGUAUACUCUGGUUGUGAGCACUAGCAACGCAGAAGGGAGGCAGCCAUGUGCUUGUUGAGUUCUGAUUAGUGUAUGUCAGGCCUCUGACCAGCUUUUGGCAGCCUGUAUGAAUGGAACAAGCAAGUCUCAGAAUGUCUGUUGGGUGCAGAAUGAAGUUUCAAUCCUGGACUCUGUGCUCUGCAAUGACUUACUGUUGAACUGUUGUCACCUUUGACUAUGACAGUGAACUGCAGCACAUGUGAUGAAGAGGACUAAGAGCUCUAGCAGCUUGGUGUCUAAAGAAUAAAUCCACAUUGUAGAUUGUCUCACUUGUUACAUGCAUUGAGGCUCAGCCUGCUGGAGAUUUGUCCCAUUUUAGGAAUUACAUGGUUCAUGUGAUAAGGGCUGUUAACACUGCCCACUGCCAAGAAUAUGAUGGUGAAAGAGGAAAUGCGAAUGUUCCUACAGUUCAAACUCUUGUCUGCACCUCUAUGUACAUUAAUGGAUGUUAUUAGUAUUUAAGGCACUAAAAAAUACUGCUUCCUCAGGCCAAAUACAGUGUGUCCUAUAUAA
Molecule: long non-coding RNA, 1019 nt
Organism: Pogoniulus pusillus (Red-fronted tinkerbird)
Lineage: Eukaryota; Metazoa; Chordata; Aves; Piciformes; Lybiidae
Exons: 5
Source: RefSeq, a predicted model, not a curated record